GUCGUUAUUGCUCGUUCGGCAUAUUUAUUUGUUUGUUUGUACACAGGCACAUACGGAUGUAUAUAUGUUUAUAUGUAUAUUUGUACAUCUGUAUAUCUCUCCGUUUGUGUGUAAGUAUGUCAGGCGUAGAAAUAUGAAAGAAUGACGUGAGACUCCUCUGCGCGAAGAAUACCCAAUAUUUAUUUCAGCACCGAAGCAUAAGUACGAGCAGAUAGUUGGAUGUAUCUAACCAAACUCGACUGCAUUCGCGCAUACACCAACAAAUUAACGUACAUACGUGCGCUCGCGACCCAAUGAAUGAGUGUAUUUGUGAGUGCGGGUGUGUUUUUGUAUAUGAAUUUCUUGUUAAUAAAAAGAACCGAAAAAAUAAAGCCCAAAAAAGUCUCAAAGUCACCACACUGCGACGGCAUGCGCCGAAGCUCCAGUACACAACCGCAACAACAACAACUCGGCUAUGUGCCACCACGGUUGUGGUGCUUGCCACUGCCACUGCGACUGCUGCUUCCACAAGCACACACAAACACACACAUACGCGGCCGCUCGCGUUCAAUACUCGCCGAUGUACAAUAUUUCCUGGGUGCGUACAAAUCGUAGUUUUCAGCGCCUCCAAUUACCACCAACAGGCUGCAAACAAUGGGGCCAUCACAGGAAGCUGCUGAGAAAACCCGAUGGCAGCAAAUUGCAGAAUAGAGGGAAUGACGCUGGCUUUCUUUCCAGCACCAACGAGCGAGAAUGAAAAAUAAGUGCCUACAAUUACACCCUGUAGGAAAUGCGAUUACAUUAUAAAGAUAUUGAACGGAAACGAAGCUUAUGAAUUUAAAUUAAUACAAAACAAAACAAAAUAUUUUAACAACUAUAAAAACAAAUGAAGAAAAUAAAAAUUAGCAAAAAUGAAAAAAUA
Bactrocera oleae (olive fruit fly) is the source of this 901-nucleotide non-coding RNA. Lineage: Eukaryota; Metazoa; Arthropoda; Insecta; Diptera; Tephritidae. The record is from RefSeq and is a predicted model, not a curated record.